GAGUGGCGAACUGGUGAGUAACACGUGGGAAACCUGCCCAGAAGCGGGGGAUAACACCUGGAAACAGAUGCUAAUACCGCAUAACAACUUGGACCGCAUGGUCCGAGUUUGAAAGAUGGCUUCGGCUAUCACUUUUGGAUGGUCCCGCGGCGUAUUAGCUAGAUGGUGGGGUAACGGCUCACCAUGGCAAUGAUACGUAGCCGACCUGAGAGGGUAAUCGGCCACAUUGGGACUGAGACACGGCCCAAACUCCUACGGGAGGCAGCAGUAGGGAAUCUUCCACAAUGGACGAAAGUCUGAUGGAGCAACGCCGCGUGAGUGAAGAAGGGUUUCGGCUCGUAAAACUCUGUUGUUAAAGAAGAACAUAUCUGAGAGUAACUGUUCAGGUAUUGACGGUAUUUAACCAGAAAGCCACGGCUAACUACGUGCCAGCAGCCGCGGUAAUACGUAGGUGGCAAGCGUUGUCCGGAUUUAUUGGGCGUAAAGCGAGCGCAGGCGGUUUUUUAAGUCUGAUGUGAAAGCCUUCGGCUCAACCGAAGAAGUGCAUCGGAAACUGGGAAACUUGAGUGCAGAAGAGGACAGUGGAACUCCNUGUGUAGCGGUGAAAUGCGUAGAUAUAUGGAAGAACACCAGUGGCGAANGCGGCUGUCUGGUCUGUAACUGACGCUGAGGCUCGAAAGUNUGGGUAGCAAACAGGNUUAGAUACCCUGGUAGUCCAUACCGUAAACGAUGAAUGCUAAGUGUUGGAGGGUUUCCGCCCUUCAGUGCUGCAGCUAACGCAUUAAGCAUUCCGCCUGGGGAGUACGGCCGCAAGGCUGAAACUCAAAGGAAUUGACGGGGGCCCGCACAAGCGGUGGAGCAUGUGGUUUAAUUCGAAGCUACGCGAAGAACCUUACCAGGUCUUGACAUACUAUGCAAAUCUNAGAGAUUANACGUUCCCUUCGGGGACAUGGAUACAGGUGGUGCAUGGUUGUCGUCAGCUCGUGUCGUGAGAUGUUGGGUUAAGUCCCGCAACGAGCGCAACCCUUAUUAUCAGUUGCCAGCAUUAAGUUGGGCACUCUGGUGAGACUGCCGGUGACAAACCGGAGGAAGGUGGGGAUGACGUCAAAUCAUCAUGCCCCUUAUGACCUGGGCUACACACGUGCUACAAUGGAUGGUACAACGAGUUGCGAACUCGCGAGAGUAAGCUAAUCUCUUAAAGCCNUUCUCAGUUCGGAUUGUAGGCUGCAACUCGCCUACNUGAAGUCGGAAUCGCUAGUAAUCGCGGAUCANCAUGCCGCGGUGAAUACNUUCCCGGGCCUUGUACACACCGCCCGUCACACCAUGAGAGUUUGUAACACCCAAAGUCGGUGGG
This 1354-nucleotide ribosomal RNA is filed under the name Lactobacillus sp. TN615. RNAcentral's name for it is "16S ribosomal RNA". It matches the Rfam family "Bacterial small subunit ribosomal RNA", at positions 93 to 1434 of the family's 1533-position model. The record is from RNAcentral. Lineage: Bacteria; Bacillati; Bacillota; Bacilli; Lactobacillales; Lactobacillaceae.